Molecule: transfer RNA, 73 nt
Filed under: Felis catus (domestic cat)
Lineage: Eukaryota; Metazoa; Chordata; Mammalia; Carnivora; Felidae
Also listed under: 2 other names
Rfam family: tRNA
About the family: Transfer RNA (tRNA) molecules are approximately 80 nucleotides in length. Their secondary structure includes four short double-helical elements and three loops (D, anti-codon, and T loops).
Source: Rfam by way of RNAcentral
GCCUGGCUGGCUCAGUCGGUAGAGCAUGUGACUCUUGGUCUCUUGGAUGUGAGUUCAAGCCCCACACUGGGUA